RNAcentral lists this ribosomal RNA (289 nucleotides) under uncultured beta proteobacterium. RNAcentral's name for it is "partial 16S ribosomal RNA". Lineage: Bacteria; Pseudomonadati; Pseudomonadota; Betaproteobacteria. The record is from RNAcentral.
CUACUCGGGUUUCUAAUCCUGUUUGCUCCCCACGCUUUCGUGCCUGAGCGUCAAUCUCAACCCAGGGGGCUGCCUUCGCCAUCGGUGUUCCGCCACAUCUCUACGCAUUUCACUGCUACACGUGGCAUUCCACCCCCCUCUGCCAGAUUCAAGUCGCCUAGUUUCCACUGCCAUUCCCAGGUUAAGCCCGGGGCUUUCACAACGGACUUCGGCAACCGCCUACGCACGCUUUACGCCCAGUAAUUCCGAUUAACGCUCGCACCCUACGUAUUACCGCGGCUGCUGGCAC